CUCAGGACGAACGCUGGCGGCGUGCUUAACACAUGCAAGUCGAGCGGAAAGGCCCUUCGGGGUACUCGAGCGGCGAACGGGUGAGUAACACGUGAGCAACCUGCCCCAAGCUUUGGGAUAACCCUCGGAAACGGGGGCUAAUACCGAAUAGGACUUCUGGCCGCAUGGCUGGUGGUGGAAAGUUUUUCGGCUUGGGAUGGGCUCGCGGCCUAUCAGCUUGUUGGUGGGGUGAUGGCCUACCAAGGCGACGACGGGUAGCCGGCCUGAGAGGGCGACCGGCCACACUGGGACUGAGACACGGCCCAGACUCCUACGGGAGGCAGCAGUGGGGAAUAUUGCACAAUGGGCGGAAGCCUGAUGCAGCGACGCCGCGUGAGGGAUGACGGCCUUCGGGUUGUAAACCUCUUUCAGCAGGGA
Molecule: ribosomal RNA, 417 nt
Filed under: Micromonospora sp. 126
Lineage: Bacteria; Bacillati; Actinomycetota; Actinomycetes; Micromonosporales; Micromonosporaceae
Description: bacterial SSU rRNA
Rfam family: Bacterial small subunit ribosomal RNA
Source: RNAcentral